AGGCCUUUAGGACCCAGAAAUCUUGAUGAUCUCCAAGCUGCCGGCUGCCUCUCACCCUUCACUGCAGUGGCUCUGUGCAUCAUCUCCAGUGGAGGAGCAUCAGCUGAGAGGUCCCCAGUACUCUGGCAAGCUGCACAGGGAAAGGUAGGAGCUGAUGCCUGGAUUGGGGACAGGAGAGGGCUGGGUCCGGCUAGGCUGCAGCAUUUCUCUCUGCAUCCCCAGGUAUCUGGAGUGUCUCAGUCGAUGGGAGAAACGCACAGAGCCAAGUCCAGUCUCCUGACUGAAACCUCAAGGAGCUGGAGCGGAACCGGAGCUGGGCACCCGAGCUCUGGCCACCAGGGACUCCAGGAUCCAUUUUAAUGGAGGGGCGAGGACCUGAGCUGGGCGGAGGCAGCCCUUCAGAGGGUCACGCUGGAAGCCAGUUCAGCAGCACCAGGGCGAAGGAAUGAGCAGGGCCAGGCUGGAUUUCGCUCUGCUCGCCUAGCCUGGCUCUCUUCCCUUCCGCCCCUGGCCGGGGCCUGCUGGCAGGAUGCUGGGGCUCGCUGCGCAGGUGGAAAGCACAGGGUGCCCUCCUCCCCAGGUGCUGCUUUCAGCAGAUCCAUUAACCACUACUUCACCUGUUGGGGAGUUUUCCAUCAGAGCAAUUCCGUGUUUAGGAAUCAAAUUUAGGGCCAGAUCUUCAGCCUUAGUUCCAUUGGAGUCUAUGGAGCAAAGCCAAUGAUCACCAGCUGAGGAUCUGGUAUGUCUGAGCUCUCCCACACCAUUAGAUUCAGGAUACAUAGCUCUGCUGAAGCUGCCAUCUGAGCACCCAGAACUAGAUCUGUGUGGAGAAUGGGAAUUCUGUGCUGCAAAGGAUUUUGAGAUUUCAAAAUCUGGCUUCAUUCUGAAUCCGAGUGAAAACUGAACAUUUUGAAAUUCUCCACUCAGGAAAAUUCUGA
RNAcentral lists this long non-coding RNA (938 nucleotides) under Chrysemys picta bellii (western painted turtle). RNAcentral's name for it is "lncRNA (ENSCPBG00000012589.1)". The record is from RNAcentral. Lineage: Eukaryota; Metazoa; Chordata; Testudines; Emydidae.